GUCUGAGAGGAGUUAUAUAAAGCGGUGGUAAAAGCGUUGAUCACUACAGGACUCUCGCCGUCUUCGUCGCAUCUCCUUUCUUUGCAUCCAUCCUAGAGCUCUCAAGUCGAAGAUAUGGACAGCUUGCUUGGGAAAUACCUCUUCGGGGUGGUUGCUGCCGUGCUCGCUAUGCUGAUCAUGGCCCCAAAUGAAGCUGGGGCAAUUCCACCUGAAGUCCUCUUAACCUUGGGACGAAAUGAAGACCAUGUCCAGUAACGAAGCAUCAGUCUUCGGGAUACAAUGCUGGUGGUUUGCGUUCCAUUGACGACACCUGCUACGUAACUAAAUAAAAUGAAUGAAGCAAAAUACCCUCGAAUGAAUAAACAGGACAUCAUUGGAGACAAACUCACUUUUCUACCGAGUGUCACAUUUUUUUUUUUUUCAUUUCCUUUCGUGUAAUCGCCCUUUGGCGCUGCUAUACAUAUAUUUCACAUUCUGUUCCUUCGUCGCAUGAUGCCAAUAAGUCUUUCUUAAUAUAUUUCGUGCUAAAAAUGAAGAAAGGGCGUCAAUCGAGGGGCCCGAUGUUUAUUUGUCAUAUCAUAGGAAGCCAACAAGCACUGACACCAAGGUACACGCAGGUGAAAUUACUUGUGCUUAAAAAAUGAAAAUGAAGGAACGGUAAAUUAAUGGAAAUGAAGGUGGAUGAAGAAACAAGUUACCGCCGGUGAGGAAUGAUCCCACAACCUUCGCAUUUCGCGUGCGAUGCUCUGCCAAUUAUGCUACCGCGGUGCCAUUUCCCGAUCCACUUUCUUGGGUAUUUGUGUGUCCUACUAGAGCCCUGGGAG
Dermacentor andersoni is the source of this 824-nucleotide long non-coding RNA. RefSeq lists it as uncharacterized. The record is from RefSeq and is a predicted model, not a curated record. Lineage: Eukaryota; Metazoa; Arthropoda; Arachnida; Ixodida; Ixodidae.